GGGGUGUAACUCAGUUGGUAGAGUGCUUACCUUGCACACACAAGGCCCUGGGUUCAAUCCCCAGCACCAUCA
This 72-nucleotide transfer RNA is filed under the name Ictidomys tridecemlineatus (thirteen-lined ground squirrel). Its description in RNAcentral is "Spermophilus tridecemlineatus (thirteen-lined ground squirrel) tRNA". It matches the Rfam family "tRNA". From Rfam's summary of the family: Transfer RNA (tRNA) molecules are approximately 80 nucleotides in length. Their secondary structure includes four short double-helical elements and three loops (D, anti-codon, and T loops). Lineage: Eukaryota; Metazoa; Chordata; Mammalia; Rodentia; Sciuridae. The record is from Rfam by way of RNAcentral.